This is a long non-coding RNA of Xenopus tropicalis (tropical clawed frog), 1767 nucleotides long. RefSeq lists it as uncharacterized. The record is from RefSeq and is a predicted model, not a curated record. NCBI's taxonomy places the organism in Eukaryota, Metazoa, Chordata, Amphibia, Anura, Pipidae. The transcript is spliced from 4 exons.
CGGAGAGGGCGGCACUGGAGCCGUGUUCAUGGUAAGGGACCAACCAAAUUCCUAGAGAGCAGGGGGAGCUGAAAGCAAGUUGAAAGUGCUAUCACUAUCCCUGCUAUGCACAUGAUUACAUUCCUUAAUAACCCAAUAUUUCUGUCAGUUUGUUCCCAAUAUGAGUCUUGAUAUUUCCAGCUAAUACUGAAUGUCAGUUACACCUUUCUGUGUGUGUUACAGGGCCAUCACCAUCGAAGAGGUAAGGUAGCCGUCAAGAUGGCCAACAUCACUCGGGUAAGGUUUCUUUAUAGUUCCUUUCUCCAUAUCAUCCCUAUUGUGUGGCUGCCUAUGUGAGCUAAAGGGUUUCUAUUUUUCCUCUCCAGGAUGAGGAGUCAGUCUGCCGAGAGGUAAGCUUUCUCCUGAAGUUCAGCAGGCACAGGAACAUCGCCUCUUACUAUGGAGCUUAUUACCACCCUGCUCCAAACGAGACGUCAUCGGAGUAUCUGGAGGUAAGAAAUUGUUUGUUGCAUCACAUUCAUCCCUUAUGUGCCAAAGAGAUCUCCAUUGGAGGCGAUAAAAUACAUACACGGCCUGAAAUCAUUCCUUCCUAUUGCAGCUUGUCCUUGAGUACUGCAGCGGCGGCUCCCUGUACAACCUGAUCGACAGCACCGAAGGCCAAUCCCUGAAGGAGACCUGGAUUGGCUAUGUCUGCAGGGAGGUAUUGAAGGCUCUCAACCACAUUCACCACCACCGGGCCGUUCACAGGGACAUCAAGAGCCCCAACGUGAUGCUCACCGAGAAGGGAAACAUCAAACUCAGUGAGUAAAACUUAUAGUUGUAAGAUGAAUGGAUGGGGGGAAGCUUCUGUGGAUAUAAAGUACAGAGGGUAUCAUGAUACAGGUUUCUAUCUUAUUGCCCUUAAAAUGAAUUCAUUUUCCAUUUAUAUAUUUAAUCUGUCAUUUCAGUCGAUUUCGGACUCUGCUGGGACCUGGACCCACAGACAGGAAAGUGCAACCAGGCUGAUGGGACAGCGCACUGGAUGGCACCCGAGGCCUUUAGGAGGAGGGACAGGGAACCGGAAUUCGACACCAAAUGUGACAUCUGGUCCCUUGGAAUCACUGCCAUCGAAAUGGCCGAGGGAGAAACACGUAAGUGAAUCACAACAAUUGUGGGUUUCUGUACAUUGUAACCAAGGAAUUGUUACCCAGUCUGGCAAAGAGCCUUUAUUUAGUCAUUUGUUACAUGCAGAAAUCCAGGCCAUGCCUGUGUUUCUAUGUGCAGGGGUAUUGUUUGUUUGUUAUGUAUUGUUUGUUAUAAUUAUUCUAAAGCAAAAUGUCUAUUAUGGUGGAAAUAGCGAAUAAGCCCCAAUACUUCAGCUUCGUGUUUGAAGGGACUGAUAUAUAUAUGUUUUUAACUUUUAGCAUACGCCGAUCAGGAGCUAGUGUCGGACCUGAUCAUUGCUAACGACUCUCCGAGGCUCAUAUCAAGGACCUGGUCUCAAACUUUUGUGUCCUUCUUGGAGUCGUGCCUUGAGAAGGAUCCUUCCCGGAGAUGGAGUGCGGAAGAGCUGCUGCAGCACCCGUUCAUUACUGAACUGCCCCCUGCGAAGACCAUCAGGGCUGAAAUCGAGGAACACCUUCGGGCUGUGCAGAACCGGCCGGCCAAACAAGGUGAAGGAAUCCAUUAUAUUUGUUAUGGCUGUACUGUCACAUCACUUAACUUACUAAAAUGAGAAGCUGCUUGAGCUGGAAUUGUAAUAGUGGUGCUAGGAAUAAUAAACACAUU